This 34-nucleotide non-coding RNA is filed under the name Anaeromyxobacter sp. Fw109-5. Lineage: Bacteria; Pseudomonadati; Myxococcota; Myxococcia; Myxococcales; Anaeromyxobacteraceae. The record is from RNAcentral.
GGGCAGGACCCCGCCUACGGGGCCUACACCGGAG